Molecule: ribosomal RNA, 482 nt
Filed under: uncultured bacterium
Lineage: Bacteria
Description: partial 16S ribosomal RNA
Rfam family: Bacterial small subunit ribosomal RNA
Source: RNAcentral
AUUGAACGCUGGCAGCAUGCCUUACACAUGCAAGUCGAACGGUAACAGGUCUUCGGAUGCUGACGAGUGGCGAACGGGUGAGUAAUACAUCGGAACGUGCCCGAUCGUGGGGGAUAACGAGGCGAAAGCUUUGCUAAUACCGCAUACGAUCUACGGAUGAAAGCGGGGGAUCUUCGGACCUCGCGCGGACGGAGCGGCCGAUGGCAGAUUAGGUAGUUGGUGGGAUAAAAGCUUACCAAGCCGACGAUCUGUAGCUGGUCUGAGAGGAUGAUCAGCCACACUGGGACUGAGACACGGCCCAGACUCCUACGGGAGGCAGCAGUGGGGAAUUUUGGACAAUGGGCGAAAGCCUGAUCCAGCCAUGCCGCGUGCAGGAUGAAGGCCUUCGGGUUGUAAACUGCUUUUGUACGGAACGAAAAGCCUCUUUCUAAUAAAGAGGGGUCAUGACGGUACCGUAAGAAUAAGCACCGGCUAACUACGUG